This 496-nucleotide ribosomal RNA is filed under the name uncultured bacterium. RNAcentral's name for it is "partial 16S ribosomal RNA". It matches the Rfam family "Bacterial small subunit ribosomal RNA", at positions 29 to 507 of the family's 1533-position model. The record is from RNAcentral.
AUGCACGCUGGCGGCGUGCCUCAUACAUGCAAGUCGCGCGAACGGACGAGAAGCUUGCUUCUCUGAUGUUAGCGGCGGACGGGUGAGUAACACGUGGAUAACCUACCUAUAAGACUGGGAUAACUUCGGGAAACCGGAGCUAAUACCGGAUAAUAUUUUGAACCGCAUGGUUCAAAAGUGAAAGACGGUCUUGCUGUCACUUAUAGAUGGAUCCGCGCUGCAUUAGCUAGUUGGUAAGGUAACGGCUUACCAAGGCAACGAUGCAUAGCCGACCUGAGAGGGUGAUCGGCCACACUGGAACUGAGACACGGUCCAGACUCCUACGGGAGGCAGCAGUAGGGAAUCUUCCGCAAUGGGCGAAAGCCUGACGGAGCAACGCCGCGUGAGUGAUGAAGGUCUUCGGAUCGUAAAACUCUGUUAUUAGGGAAGAACAUAUGUGUAAGUAACUAUGCACAUCUUGACGGUACCUAAUCAGAAAGCCACGGCUAACUACGUG